RNAcentral lists this long non-coding RNA (272 nucleotides) under Setaria italica (foxtail millet). RNAcentral's name for it is "long non-coding RNA (SITA_LNC003013)". The record is from RNAcentral. Lineage: Eukaryota; Viridiplantae; Streptophyta; Magnoliopsida; Poales; Poaceae.
CCCCCAAUGUCCACGCUGGCAUAUUUUCUAAAAAAGACAAGUGUCAAAGCACGUUGCACGGCAAAAUCAAGUCACAAUCAGUACUCGGGUACUUACUUUGUGGAUCGCCUUAUCUUCAAGGAGGACUCUGCCCCCAGACGCAGGGACUUGAUUGUGAGCAACGGCUUCUUUGGCGCGGCUUGUUGGAUUGCAGCUUGAUCCUCGCUAGCCUUGGCUGCCGUCUCCACCCCUUGAGUAGUCUACGCCGUGAAGGGGUUGACCCUAGCUACAGG